RNAcentral lists this ribosomal RNA (492 nucleotides) under uncultured bacterium. Its description in RNAcentral is "partial 16S ribosomal RNA". It matches the Rfam family "Bacterial small subunit ribosomal RNA", at positions 30 to 507 of the family's 1533-position model. The record is from RNAcentral.
AUUGAACGCUGGCGGCAUGCUUUACACAUGCAAGUCGAACGGUAACGGGCCUUCGGGUGCUGACGAGUGGCGAACGGGUGCGUAAUGCAUCGGAACGUGCCCAGAGGUGGGGGAUAACGCAGCGAAAGCUGUGCUAAUACCGCAUGUGAUCUGAGGAUGAAAGCGGGGGACCAAGCAGCAAUGUUUGGCCUCGCGCCUCUGGAGCGGCCGAUGUCAGAUUAGGUAGUUGGUGGGGUAAAGGCCUACCAAGCCGACGAUCUGUAGCUGGUCUGAGAGGACGACCAGCCACACUGGGACUGAGACACGGCCCAGACUCCUACGGGAGGCAGCAGUGGGGAAUUUUGGACAAUGGGCGCAAGCCUGAUCCAGCAAUGCCGCGUGCGGGAAGAAGGCCUUCGGGUUGUAAACCGCUUUUGUACGGAACGAAAAGGCUCUGGCUAAUACCUGGGGCUGAUGACGGUACCGUAAGAAUAAGCACCGGCUAACUACGUG